This 2769-nucleotide long non-coding RNA is filed under the name Homo sapiens (human). RNAcentral's name for it is "HSALNT0286880". The stretch from base 270 to 330 matches the Rfam family "U7 small nuclear RNA". The record is from RNAcentral. Lineage: Eukaryota; Metazoa; Chordata; Mammalia; Primates; Hominidae.
GCCGUCUCGGGGGGCGCGGCCCAGACCACCGACGCGCCUGGCGGGGGCACGAGCCGCUGGGCGUCCACUCUGCCUGGCCCCGGAGGUGUUCCCAGGUACCCGAGCCUCGCGGCGUUUUCAAGUGCUGGCUGCGAAGCUUGAAAAGGACCCGCCGCUGGGCCGGGCGUUUUGUGUUUGCCAAACAAAGCAUGAAGGCAGAAGAGACAUCUGUAAUCCUGCUGAUGCUCAUGUGCUGAAAACUAUGACCGUACUCAAUAAAGAAGGAGACACAGUGUUACAGCUCUUUUGGAAUUAGUCUAGCAGAUUUCUCAGUUUUCACUGGAAACCCUUAAAAAGGUCUGUUCUAUACUCCUAACUCUCCAGGAGUUUACAAGGAAUAAAAUCUCUUCCAAAAGCUUUCUGUUGCAACAACUGGACCAUACUGAAAGCUGAGGCCCACAAUUGCAAUCUAGGUUAGCAGGUAAUCAUUGUUGGUGAGGUCCUCCCUUUCCCCAGGCUCGUGUUUGUAUUGGGGAGCAGGAAAUUUUUGCUAGAGCAGCACUGCCAUCUCUCUACACUCCACCUGAUUGGUGGGAUGGACCAGAGAAAUGGACAUUCCCAACACAGUCCCUCCUUUCACAUCUGCUCACCUGCCCACAGGAUACUUUCCACCAUGCAUACUGGGCUCUGCACCAACGAUUCAGCAGUGAUGAAGAGGAAACUUGAACCCUUCUCUCCAGGAGCUGACACCAUUUAGUGAGGAGCCAGACAAAUAAAUAAAGAAGGAAAUGCCAUUAAACGUACAGGAUGACUAUCACAGUGGUAAGAGGAAUGAGGGAACACUCUGGGAGCAUAAAGGAGGUGCAUCUAACCAAUUAUCAACUGCAUCAUCAAGUAUCAAGUCAGAAAGAUUAGAUUUCAUAAACCUUGCCUCUAAGCACCAACCUGAUGGUCACUCUGACAACACAUAUAUUGAGCAUCCUCUCUAGGUCAGACCUGGGCUAGGAGCUGGGGGGAUAUAAGGAAGACUAAGACAUAGCCCAUGCUCUUAAGGAGCUCACAGUCUAAUGGAGAAAACCUCCAAAUAAACUAACACUUUCAGCGUAGUGCAGAGAUGGGGUCAUGCAAAAAGAACUAUAGAAAAACAGAGGUGGGGCCCCUAACACAGUGUGCAGGUCAGAGAAGGCUACUCCGAGGAGAUUAGUCCUGAGCUGGUUCUGAAGGGAUGAAUAGAGCUUAGCUGCUUGAAAAAUAUGGACAAGGUCAGUCCAGACAGAGGGAACUUCAUGGUCAAGAGUAUGGAGAUGAGCCUGAGCAUGGAGGUUGGGGAAUGAGGCUUGAGCAAUAAGCAGGGGUCAGAGAAUGAAGGACCUUAUAUGCCAUUCUGGGUAUAACUGGAAAACUUGGACUUGAUCCUGUGUAAAAUCAAAUCAGAUGUUGUGAGCCAGUGGGGGGCAAUUCCAAAGACAGAGGUAUAAGCCAGAGGGUGCCGGGCUAUUACAGUCUAAGGGAGAAAUGAUGAUGGCCUGAGCUAGGCCAGUAAGAGCAGCGAAAGAGAGCAGAGAGACACAGAGCUGUUUGGGAGGUAGAUGGAUGAGUGAUUGAUCGGCUGUGUGGCUAAGGCAGAGGAAGGAGUUUAUGAUGACUUCCAGUUUUCCAGUUUGUGUCCUGCCAGAAUUGGAGAUACAGAAGGAGCAGGGGUAGCAGAGGCAGGAAGGGAAGAAUGAGCUCGAUUUUGGACAUGUCAAAUUUGGGGUCCUUCUGGGUCAUCCUGGUAUGAGUGGCUCCCAAAGAAAGUGAUUUUGCAGAAGAAGUGAUGCUUGCUACUUGCUCUCCUUUACUGAUAUAAAUUUGAAGAGGGGACAUAUAAUCUGGCAAUUUCAAAUAGACAUAGAAAAGACAUCAAAGCAGCCAGGAACCAAGCAUUAAGAACUCUCUCAUAUAGAGAGUGAGCAAAUAAACCUCAUCAGACCAGCAGACUCUGCCAACAUACCCUGCAUUUCCCUGUUUGAUGUUCCUGCUAUUCCAGUGCUGAUGUCUAAGUAACUGUACCACAAAGUACACUGGGAAGGAGAACAAAUGGCCAAAAUUGUCUCAAGAUCCCCUUUUCUUUUGACAUGCACUAUGACUUGUGGCAAAUGGAAAAUAAAUAAACCCAAACAUAAAAAAAGAAUUGCAGGCCCAUGUUCUUCUCAAGUGACUUUUAAGGGGAAACAAAUGGAAAUGUUCACUUUGCUCUUAUUUGUAUCACUUUUUAAAAUAACUUUAUUGAUGUAGAAUUCACAUACUAUACAAUAAAAUCCUCUGAUGUCACUCCUAAGAUGGUAUGGCUGUGAGCAUGAGCACAGUCACCCUGAGAUGAUAGUGGUUUCAGCAUGGCUCUGUUUGUCUUUUUCCUUGAUACCUCUGUUAAGUUGUCUGCCUCCUUCUAUUAAACUACACGAAUUUCUGGCCGAUUGCUCAAUAAUUUUUCAAUAAUUUUGGGGGUAUACAUUGCUUCACAGUUUGAUCCAAUUACAUUUAAGCAGGGGUAGCUUUAUGUCGUGAUUCUUUGAGGUUUGCUCUAACCCCAAGAAAACUCCUCUUAGCUGGGCCUUUCCCUGGUUCUCUCUGAUAAACAAGAUUGUCUGUGGUUAGGCUUUUUGCUCUGAUAGAUCUAUCAGCCUCCCUUAAUUGCUCACCAUUAAAGUCUCCAUCAUUUUCUAGAGUAUCCUUAGGCUUGAACUGCCACAUACUCCUUCAAAGUCAGUUCCUUUGAGGAGAACUUCAGCUACAUCUGUUCUUAUGGAC